This 898-nucleotide ribosomal RNA is filed under the name Capsaloides sp. 1 CY-2011. RNAcentral's name for it is "eukaryotic LSU rRNA". It matches the Rfam family "Eukaryotic large subunit ribosomal RNA", at positions 44 to 645 of the family's 3401-position model. Lineage: Eukaryota; Metazoa; Platyhelminthes; Monogenea; Capsalidea; Capsalidae. The record is from RNAcentral.
CAGUAAGCGGAGGAAAACAAACUAAACAGGAUUCUCUUAGUAACUGCGAGUGAACAGAGAUUAGCCCAAUAUCGAAGCUCACAAGCUAAAUUGUUUGUUGAGCAAUGUGAUAUUAAGAUGUUUGCUAACGUAUAGUGGCCGACUUGAAGUCCAAAUUUGAAUGUGGCAUGUUCAGUAUGAACUCCAAAGAUGGUGAGAGUCCCGUUCAAGUUGGUAAUCAGAUGUGACAUUAUGCGUAUAUGCAUUCAUCUUGGAGUCGGAUUGCUUGAGAAUGCAGUCCAAAGUUGGUGGUAAACUCCAUCUAAGGCUAAAUACCUGUACGAGUCCGAUAGUUAACAAGUACCGUGAGGGAAAGUUGAAAAGUACUCUGAAGAGAGAGUAAACAGUACGUGAAACUACAAGGAGGUUAAUCAGAUAGAGUCAAGCUGCUUGUUAUUAAGCAUUGCUUUACAUGUUAAAAAUUUGUAAACUAGACAUGUACCAUACACAGUGCAAUAGAAAUGCCAGUUUAUUUUUAAUAGACGGGUAUUAUAAUUGUUAAAUGUAGUACCAAGUGUAUGAACGUAUGUGUCAACAUGUAUUGUUAAUGUUGAUAACUAGUGCCACAAUCGUUUACUUAAUCAGAGUGCUUUAACCAGCUGUUGUUCGUUUAGAUUGCAAAAUUUAAAUGGGCACAUAGUUAGACAGUUAGUAGGUUAAUACUAUUUAAUAGUGUUAACUUACUUAAAAAAGGGAUUUCUGAUCCCUGUUGGUUAAAGCAUUUUUAAUUUCUGUGUUAGUAAACGGCAACAUAUAUACACAUUAGCUUGUAUUAUAGUUUGUUGGUUUUGGCAAAAAUCGAUGAGCUUUUAAUGCAAGUGUGUAUGUUAAUUGUGGUUCUGUGGUAGACUUUCUAUUU